This 638-nucleotide ribosomal RNA is filed under the name uncultured bacterium. Its description in RNAcentral is "bacterial SSU rRNA". It matches the Rfam family "Bacterial small subunit ribosomal RNA", at positions 21 to 654 of the family's 1533-position model. The record is from RNAcentral.
GGCUCAGAUUGAACGCUGGCGGCAUGCCUUACACAUGCAAGUCGAACGGCAGCACGGAGCUUGCUCUGGUGGCGAGUGGCGAACGGGUGAGUAAUAUAUCGGAACGUACCCUAGAGUGGGGGAUAACGUAGCGAAAGUUACGCUAAUACCGCAUACGAUCUAAGGAUGAAAGUGGGGGAUCGCAAGACCUCAUGCUCGUGGAGCGGCCGAUAUCUGAUUAGCUAGUUGGUAGGGUAAAAGCCUACCAAGGCAUCGAUCAGUAGCUGGUCUGAGAGGACGACCAGCCACACUGGAACUGAGACACGGUCCAGACUCCUACGGGAGGCAGCAGUGGGGAAUUUUGGACAAUGGGCGAAAGCCUGAUCCAGCAAUGCCGCGUGAGUGAAGAAGGCCUUCGGGUUGUAAAGCUCUUUUGUCAGGGAAGAAACGGCGAGAGCUAAUAUCUCUUGCUAAUGACGGUACCUGAAGAAUAAGCACCGGCUAACUACGUGCCAGCAGCCGCGGUAAUACGUAGGGUGCAAGCGUUAAUCGGAAUUACUGGGCGUAAAGCGUGCGCAGGCGGUUUUGUAAGUCUGAUGUGAAAUCCCCGGGCUCAACCUGGGAAUUGCAUUGGAGACUGCAAGGCUAGAAUCUGGCAG